AUUAACAUAUUUUUUUCUAAGUAAUGUCUAGAAAUCUUUGUAAUGUAAAACAUUUAAGUAGAUAUUAGUAAUGGAAUAAAUUGUUAUACUGUGACAGUAUAUGAUUCUAUCCAGAAAAAACGAAAUGAUAGUAGUGAUCGAGGAUCUGGAAUAGAGAUUUGUCUUAUUUUAAUCGAGAAAGAGGCGAGGCAGAGACUGGUGAGGCCAUUCCUCGAGAACCACAGUGGAGAUUUAAUAAGAGAGUAAAGAAGAUGAUGCCGACACAAACCAAAAGGUUAAUCCGAUAGAAUGAAAUGCAAAUUAUAAGAUUAGUUAAUUUAAAUAAUUUACAAAAGAUUUUUAUUUAUCUAGUGGCAGUGUUUAUUCCAACAAAGUUGUAUUAUGAUAGGAGCAAUCCAAAACAAAAUUAUUGAUGUUAUAAAAUCGUUAUUUACAUGAAAUAAUCGAGUUGGUCCA
This is a long non-coding RNA of Arabidopsis lyrata subsp. lyrata, 456 nucleotides long. RefSeq lists it as uncharacterized. The record is from RefSeq and is a predicted model, not a curated record. The transcript has 2 exons. Lineage: Eukaryota; Viridiplantae; Streptophyta; Magnoliopsida; Brassicales; Brassicaceae.